Candoia aspera is the source of this 1955-nucleotide long non-coding RNA. RefSeq lists it as uncharacterized. The transcript has 2 exons. The record is from RefSeq and is a predicted model, not a curated record. NCBI's taxonomy places the organism in Eukaryota, Metazoa, Chordata, Lepidosauria, Squamata, Candoiidae.
GUGUGUGUAUUCGCGCGCGCGCCUGUGUGUAUAAUGUUAAAGGUUCUUUUUUGUUUUCUUAAAUAGCAACAGCAACCAUUUGCAAGUUCAGCGCCCUGGCAGACAAGUGUAGUCCUUAGCUUUCCUGCCCUCAAAAUAUAGCGAUAUGCAUAAUUUCUUCUAAAACCGGGGUUGGGUCCCGUCUGAAGCUAGGAAAAGCCAAAUCCUCUUACUCCUUCCCACCAACACGCAGUCUGUCCUCCUUUCCCUCGCUUUCAAAAAAUUUGCUCUGCUUUUGUGGAAGACUGGAAUUUCGGCACCUCUGAAGGGAAAGACCUGGUUGAUAAAACCAAUGGCUCUUCCUGCUGUGGUCCAUGAAACGCCUCCAGAAAAUCUGCAAGCACAACCUUCUGCCAUUGUCUUCAUCGACUGCUGUGUAUUCAAUGGUUUACUGAACAAUUUUGCAGCUAUGAUGCAUAUUCAUUUGGCUCAGGUGUGUGAAUUUUUCUUUUCUUCAGGCCAAAAAUCACACUUGCUCUUUGGUGAGCUGGGGCUGCCCUCCAAAAUGUAGGGAGAGCCAGGAUAAGUAUGUGGAUAGGCCAGGAAAAAAAGAAAAAAACCCAUUAAAUAUAUUUAAUUGUAUUUACUAUGACUAAAGUCAACGUUAUCCUCUCUAAGCCCCAUGAAAGAAUGGGGUGGUCAUCAGGAUUUGGUGGCAACUUUGUUGGAAGAAUUUGGAGACCACAUCCUAAGCUUGUGGGUGGUCAUGUGCAGCCAUAGGAUGUGUCCAGCACGUGCUCAGAUUUGGAUAGAAAAAUUAACUGAGUGCCCAUUCAAUCUGAUUCAAUGAGCAAUGAACUUACAAAAGUUCCUAAACGCUGCCAUAUUCUCUGAUAAAUUGGACGUGGAGCACCAUCUAAUUACACAUAACAUAUGGCAGAGAGGAUAAGAGAAAAGGGAUGGGAGAGAAUGCCAUUCAGGCUAUGAAUAGAUUAGUGUUGUCUGUUAUAACUCCAUUAAAAAUUGAGUGCAUGGUAAUGCUGAGCUAUUCUAAGUGCAGAUAAAUUUUAGAAAAGGUUAAGUGCAAUAUAUCUGAUUGCUGACAAUGGAGCUCCUAAUUCAUACAAGGAAUGGAGACAGUGUCUUAGAAAUGGGAAGAUUAUAAUCCCUUGGACUUUUCUAAAAUUAUAGAUUGGGUAAGUAAAUCAUCCGUUAAAUGGCAAUCUAAUUUGAAAGGUAUACAUUGAAUCAAAUUAACAAGUGCACCUAAUUAGGCACAGGAGUUAACAUAACGAAGCUUCCCAUGAUUAGCGUAUACACACACAGAUUUCCAUUGGACUAAUCAAGGCAAUGUUCUUUAUUAGCAGAGCUAAAGUGGCCCAUAUAGGAGAAGGUUGCCAAAGGUCAUGGGAAACCAGGUCCCUACAGCUUGAGGGCAUGAUGUGGGUUGGAGAGCCAGCAGCAACUAGAAAAAUGCAGAGUCAGGCAUUUGGAAACCUAACAACCAUUCUAGUUUUUGUGUCAUGAGGCUAAAUAACCAUCGCUAUAAUUACGGACCAGACACAUCGAAGUGAUUAGGAGGGAUAGAGUGACUCCAUCUGAGAAAUACUACAGCAGCUGUGGGCUUUUCAGCCCGGAACUGAGAGCAGGUGAUGGGAGACACCAUAGAGGUAUAUGUAGCUAAUGAAAGAAAUAGCUGCCAGCCAGUCAAGAGCCCUGGAUCUCAACUGCAAUUCAGUUGACCCUCUGUGGUUAUAUGCAGGUCACCAGCCUGAAAGAAAAUAUGGCCACCUCCAUUUGGCAUGAUUAGCAAUUACACUGGGCAUUAAUCUUUAAUUGCAAACCCAAUUUCUAUGCAUUAACCAUUUUUAUUCCUCUUUAAAGUUAAGAGCUUAAAUUCGUCUGGAGAAGUUAGAAACUUUUCAGAAUGCUUGUAUGUAUAUAUUUGUAUGUAUUAUAUAAAAAUUCCCUUCUCA